ACGGGAGGCAGCAGUGGGGAAUUUUCCGCAAUGGGCGAAAGCCUGACGGAGCAAUACCGCGUGAGGGACGAAGGCCUGUGGGUUGUAAACCUCUUUUGUUAGGGAAGAUAAUGACGGUACCUAACGAAUAAGCAUCGGCUAACUCCGUGCCAGCAGCCGCGGUAAGACGGAGGAUGCAAGCGUUAUCCGGAAUUAUUGGGCGUAAAGCGUACGUAGGCUGUUUCAUAAGUCUGUUGUCAAAGCCCGAGGCUCAACCUUGGAUCGGCAAUGGAAACUGUGAGACUAGAGAGAGAUAGGGGCAGGAGGAAUUCCAGGUGUAGCGGUGAAAUGCGUAGAUAUCUGGAAGAACACCAGUGGCGAAAGCGUCCUGCUGGAUCUCAACUGACGCUGAAGUACGAAAGCUAGGGGAGCGAAUGGGAUUAGAUACCCCAGUAGUCCUAGCCGUAAACGAUGGGUACUAGGUGUUGGUCGUAUCGACCCGAUCAGUGCCGUAGCUAACGCGUUAAGUACCCCGCCUGGGGAGUAC
RNAcentral lists this ribosomal RNA (526 nucleotides) under bacterium enrichment culture clone LiUU-12-51. RNAcentral's name for it is "bacterial SSU rRNA". It matches the Rfam family "Bacterial small subunit ribosomal RNA", at positions 341 to 883 of the family's 1533-position model. The record is from RNAcentral.